GGGUUGCUUAGUUCCUUUCUUCAGUUUUAGAUUUUUUUUUUGCUAAAUUAUACAUCGAGCAUGUUUUAUAAAAAUUUUAUCUAAAUUUAAGCUGAUUCAAGUCAUUUACAAAUUCUGAGACAAAACAUUUGAUACUACAUAGUAUGGCUAUGCAGUUAUGAAGCAAAAGUUUGUUUUCUUAUACAAAAGUUUGUUUUCUUAUACAAUUAUGCCGCUAACAAUAAUAAUUAUGGAGACUAUAGUAGCCUAACUGCAUUACCUAGAAAUCAGUUCUCAUACAGAAUACCCAAAGGACGACAGAAAGAGACUUGACAAUCCUGACAAAAGAAAAAAAAAGACAGAAAGAGACUGAUGAAAUUUGUCCACACAUUUCAACACUCCAUGUUUAUCUGCUGGAAGAUAAUGUUAGAAAAUGACGUAUUGCCAAGUUCACCAACAAUGAAAGUCAGCAGAAAACGCCGUAUGUCAAGAAACUUUGCUAAGAAGAUGUUCAAGUACUCUAAGAGACGCUUUAAUCUGCUUAAAUAAACAUGUCAGCUAUCAAUCUACAGAUAGAGGAUGAUCAUUUCAAAAAACAGCCAAAGAGCUUGCAAGCAACCUGCUGCUGGCCCAGACUGUGGUCAGUUCUUCUGCUGGUCAUUGCGCUGACACUGCUUCCGGUUUCACUGUUUGGAGAGAAAGGAGUAUUCAUAGUCAGCAGUGAAAAGGUUGUUGGCCUCCACAAACAAUGCAUCAAGAAUCAGACAACAGGAGAGUUAGAAUGUUUCAACUAUCAGAGCAUGAAAAUGAAUAUUAACAACAAAGGAAUUGUUAGUUCAAAGUGUUUGAUAUAUGCGACACUUGUGUUCUGUUUGUUUGCAUUGCUAUCUUUUGCAUUAGAUAUCUGGAUUCAAGAUAGAUCUGACAGGAGCACAUGGAAAUGUGGCUUUUACCUUGUGGUGAUUGCAGCAGCACUCCUGUUUGCAGGGCUUGUGACUUUUCUGCUGUUUGCUGCUAAACACAUUCAUUUUGCUGAUUUUGGGUUGGCAUUCUGGAUGUGCCUGGCAGCUGAGGCUUAUCUGAUAAUAUGUACUCUUGUUUCCUGGCAUGCCUGCAGGGAACAAAACCAGUAUAGCAUUGCUGUUGUCAUAUAAGAAAUAGCAACAGGAAGCAAAUACUCUAUUAGGAAACAAGCCAAUAUUUCUAAUAGGGUUAGUAUACAAAAAUAGUAACUGCUUUGAAAACAAGCCUUUAGUAAUUAACUCAUAAACAGAAAGUAUGGUUGCUUUGUCAGUCAUCUGUAUGUAGCAGCCUAAUUUACAUAAAAAUACAUAUAUUUUUACUAAUAAUAUGCUUUAGGGUCUAUAAUCUAGGCUGAGAAAAAACUGUGUAAUUAAACGGGGAAGAAAACUCAACACCAUUGAGAACAUACAUCACCUAAUAAUGACUAGAAAUAGUCCUGCCAUGGCACUAAAGAGUGGUUUAAUUAGCCAUACACAGUUUAACCAGUCUAACAUGAGCAUAACUGUUGAAUUAAAUAAGAACUUCUUUAGAUUAAACUAGCCAUUGCCUUCAAGACCACCACAAGAUAAACAAUGCAUCUUAUUUCUAAGAUGCAACUUUUUGGGGAUAUGGGACACAAUCCAGUAAAAAGAUUAAUUUCCAAUUUCCCUGGAUCCCAAAAUAGUAUUGACAGUGAAAACAACACGUGAAAUUUGUCAUCUCACUUCAUAACACAUGAUCAUAAAAUGUUUAUGUUAAACACUUAGAGAACAAACACACACACACACACACACAUAUAUAUAUACACACACACACACACACACAC
This is a long non-coding RNA of Protopterus annectens (West African lungfish), 1807 nucleotides long. RefSeq lists it as uncharacterized. Lineage: Eukaryota; Metazoa; Chordata; Ceratodontiformes; Protopteridae. The record is from RefSeq and is a predicted model, not a curated record. The transcript has 4 exons.